AGGUGAGACAAUGACAACUCAGCACUCAUUAUUCUGGAGAGAAACCUGGCCCUCUUCAUAAACAAAGCAACUGAGAAAAGAAAAGGCCAUGAAUGAAGAAUUUUCUAUCAUUACCAUAACCAAUGCCCCCAUUCAUUAACAUUUUUAGAAUAAAAAAAUUAAAAUUAAA
This is a long non-coding RNA of Pseudophryne corroboree (corroboree frog), 169 nucleotides long. RefSeq lists it as uncharacterized. The transcript is spliced from 2 exons. Lineage: Eukaryota; Metazoa; Chordata; Amphibia; Anura; Myobatrachidae. The record is from RefSeq and is a predicted model, not a curated record.